Molecule: ribosomal RNA, 488 nt
Filed under: uncultured bacterium
Lineage: Bacteria
Description: bacterial SSU rRNA
Rfam family: Bacterial small subunit ribosomal RNA
Source: RNAcentral
GGCUCAGAUUGAACGCUGGCGGCAUGCCUUACACAUGCAAGUCGAACGGCAGCACGGGGCAACCUGGUGGCGAGUGGCGAACGGGUGAGUAAUGCAUCGGAACGUGCCAUUGAGUGGGGAUAACGUAGCGAAAGUUGCGCUAAUACCGCAUAUUCUGUGAGCAGGAAAGCAGGGGACCGCAAGGCCUUGCGCUCUUUGAGCGGCCGAUGUCAGAUUAGCUAGUUGGUGAGGUAACGGCUUACCAAGGCGACGAUCUGUAGCGGGUCUGAGAGGAUGAUCCGCCACACUGGAACUGAGACACGGUCCAGACUCCUACGGGAGGCAGCAGUGGGGAAUUUUGGACAAUGGGCGCAAGCCUGAUCCAGCCAUGCCGCGUGAGUGAAGAAGGCCUUCGGGUUGUAAAGCUCUUUCGGCCGGGAAGAAAUCGCAUGGGUUAAUACCCUGUGUGGAUGACGGUACUGGAAUAAGAAGCACCGGCUAACUACAUG